CUCAAGAGUAGAAGGGCCAAGAGCAGGGCCAGGAGUUGAGCCAAGAGUGAGAACUAAGAGGGAACCAGGAGUGGGGGCCAGGACUACGUAGGGCCCAGGGGUAGAAAUAGAGUAGAGCCAAGAGUAGAACUAAAAGAGUAGAGCCAAGAGUAGGGCAGGAAUAGAGCCAAGAGUAGAACUAAGAGCAGGACCAGGAGUGGGGCCAGGACUACAUAGAGCCAGGUGUAGAAAUAAGGGUAGAACCAGAGUAGAACUAAAGAGCCAAGAGUAGGGCCAGGAGUAGAACUAGGAGUAGGGCCGGUAGUAGAACUAAGAGUAGGGCCAGGAGUAGAACUAAGAGCCAAGAGUAGGCUCCAAAGAGUCAGACGUCAGGAGUAGAACUAAGAGCCAAGAGUAGACUGAAGGAGUUAAGGAGUCAGGAGUAGAACUAAGAGUAGGGCCAGGAGUAGAACUAAGAGUAGGGCCAAGAGUAGAACUAAGAGUAGAGCCAGGAGUAGAACUAAGAGUAGAGCCAAGAGCAGGGCCAGGAGUAGAGCCAAGAGUAGAACUAAGAGCAGGACCAGGAGUGGGGCCAGAACUAUGUAGGGCCAGGGGUAGAAGUAGGAGUAGAACCAAGAGUAGGGCCAAGAGCAGAACUAAGAGUAGAGUCUACUCUUAGUUCUACUCCUGGCCCUACUCUUAGUUCUACUCCUGGCCCUACUCUUAGUUCUACUCCUGGCUCUACUCCUAGUUCUACUCUUGGUUCUACUCCUAGUCCUACUCUUGGCUCUUAGUUCUACUCUUGGCUCUACUCUUAGUUCUGCUCUUGGCCCUACUCUUGGUUCUACUCCUACCCCUGGCCCUACGUAGUCCUGGCCCCACUCCUGGUCCUGCUCUUAGUUCUACUCUUGGCUCUACUCCUGGCCCUGCUCUUGGCUCUACUCUUAGUUCU
RNAcentral lists this long non-coding RNA (931 nucleotides) under Coturnix japonica (Japanese quail). RNAcentral's name for it is "lncRNA (ENSCJPG00005002221.1)". Lineage: Eukaryota; Metazoa; Chordata; Aves; Galliformes; Phasianidae. The record is from RNAcentral.